Molecule: non-coding RNA, 99 nt
Organism: Diaporthe sp. PMI_573
Lineage: Eukaryota; Fungi; Ascomycota; Sordariomycetes; Diaporthales; Diaporthaceae
Source: the annotation of a GenBank genome assembly
AAUCCCUUAGUUCAGUCGGCAGAGCGCCUACUCUAAACGACCAUCUUGUAGCUUGUGCAUACUAGUGGGAGGUCAUUGGUUCAAAUCCAAUAGGGACUG